UACGGAGGGGGCUAGCGUUGUUCGGAAUUACUGGGCGUAAAGCGCACGUAGGCGGCUUUGUAAGUUAGAGGUGAAAGCCCGGAGCUCAACUCCGGAACUGCCUUUAAGACUGCAUCGCUUGAAUCAUGGAGAGGUCAGUGGAAUUCCGAGUGUAGAGGUGAAAUUCGUAGAUAUUAGGAAGAACACCAGUGGCGAAGGCGGCUCACUGGUCCGGUACUGACGCUGAGGUGCGAAAGCGUGGGGAGCAAACAGG
Molecule: ribosomal RNA, 253 nt
Filed under: uncultured bacterium
Lineage: Bacteria
Description: partial 16S ribosomal RNA
Rfam family: Bacterial small subunit ribosomal RNA
Source: RNAcentral